Small nuclear RNA from Sciurus vulgaris (Eurasian red squirrel), 102 nucleotides. Lineage: Eukaryota; Metazoa; Chordata; Mammalia; Rodentia; Sciuridae. The record is from Ensembl.
GUGUUCAUUUUGGUAGCACAUAUACUAAAAUACAAAGAGAAAAGAUUAAUGUAGCCCCUGUGCAAUGAUGACAUAUGAAUUUGUGAAACAUUCCAUAUUAUA